CUCCUACGGGACGCAGCAGUGGGGAAUAUUGCACAAUGGGGGGAACCCUGAUGCAGCGACGCCGCGUGGGUGAAGGAGCGUUUCGGCGCGUAAAGCCCUAUCGGCAGGGAAGAAGAUGACGGUACCUGACCAAGAAGCCCCGGCUAACUACGUGCCAGCAGCCGCGGUAAUACGUAGGGAGCAAGCGUUAUCCGGAUUUACUGGGGGUAAAGGGGGCGCAGACGGCAAUGCAAGCCAGGAGUGAAAGCCCGGGGCCCAACCCCCGGACUGCUCUUGGAACUGCAUGGCUGGGGUACAGGAGGGGG
Molecule: ribosomal RNA, 305 nt
Filed under: uncultured bacterium
Lineage: Bacteria
Description: bacterial SSU rRNA
Rfam family: Bacterial small subunit ribosomal RNA
Source: RNAcentral